RNAcentral lists this ribosomal RNA (375 nucleotides) under uncultured bacterium. Its description in RNAcentral is "bacterial SSU rRNA". It matches the Rfam family "Bacterial small subunit ribosomal RNA", at positions 521 to 896 of the family's 1533-position model. The record is from RNAcentral.
UAAUACGAAGGGGGCUAGCGUUGCUCGGAAUCACUGGGCGUAAAGGGCGCGUAGGCGGACUCUUAAGUCGGAGGUGAAAGCCCAGGGCUCAACCCUGGAACUGCCUUCGAUACUGAGAGUCUUGAGACCGGAAGAGGUAAGUGGAACUGCGAGUGUAGAGGUGAAAUUCGUAGAUAUUCGCAAGAACACCAGUGGCGAAGGCGGCUUACUGGUCCGGUUCUGACGCUGAGGCGCGAAAGCGUGGGGAGCAAACAGGAUUAGAUACCCUGGUAGUCCACGCCGUAAACGAUGGAUGCCAGCUGUUGGCGGGUUUACUCGUCAGUGGCGCAGCUAACGCUUUAAGCAUCCCGCCUGGGGAGUACGGUCGCAAGAUUA